CAGGUUCUGCUUCUUUGGUGUAGUCCUGAAGCUUCCUAAGAAACUUCACAUCAGGUGAUGGAUAGGAGCAACCCUGUAAAACCAGCCUUAGACUAUUUUUCAAACAGGCUGGUGAAUUACCAGAUCUCCGUCAAGUGCAGUAACCAGUUCAAGUUGGAAGUGUGUCUUUUGAAUGCAGAAAACAAAGUCGUGGACAACCAGGCUGGGACCCAGGGCCAGCUGAAGGUGCUGGGUGCCAACCUCUGGUGGCCGUACCUGAUGCACGAACACCCCGCCUACCUGUACUCGUGGGAGGAUGGUGAUUGCUCACACCAAAGCCUUGGACCCCUCCCAGCCUGUGACCUUUGGGACCAACUCCACCUACGCAGCAGACAAGGGGGCUCUGUAUGUGGAUGUGAUCCGUGUGAACAGCUACUACUCUUGGUAUCGCAACUACGGGCACCUGGAGUUGAUUCGGCUGCAGCUGGCCGCCCAGUUUGAGAAUUGGUGUAAGACAUCACAAUCCCAUUAUUCAGAGCGCGUAUGGAGUGGAAACGCUUGUAGGGUUUCACCAGGUAAGCGGUGUUGAACUUUCUGCUUGUGUAUUCUCUCUGGGCAGAGAUGCCACUUG
RNAcentral lists this long non-coding RNA (610 nucleotides) under Homo sapiens (human). RNAcentral's name for it is "non-protein coding lnc-NAIP-2:3". Lineage: Eukaryota; Metazoa; Chordata; Mammalia; Primates; Hominidae. The record is from RNAcentral.